GCAAGAGGUUCGACUCGAGCGCAGCGAGAGAACGUUGCGUCAGCAACGGCCCGCAGGGCGAGCCACGCAGUGGCGAGUCAUCCUCUAUCACCGACCA
RNAcentral lists this small RNA (97 nucleotides) under Salmonella enterica. RNAcentral describes it as "partial RtT sRNA". It matches the Rfam family "RtT RNA", at positions 35 to 130 of the family's 130-position model. From Rfam's summary of the family: This family represents a bacterial cis-regulatory element known as RtT RNA. The record is from RNAcentral. RNAcentral also lists the same sequence under 3 other names. Lineage: Bacteria; Pseudomonadati; Pseudomonadota; Gammaproteobacteria; Enterobacterales; Enterobacteriaceae.